Molecule: long non-coding RNA, 1117 nt
Organism: Aedes aegypti (yellow fever mosquito)
Lineage: Eukaryota; Metazoa; Arthropoda; Insecta; Diptera; Culicidae
Exons: 2
Source: RefSeq, a predicted model, not a curated record
ACCAUUUCCGUGAAAUUUUUUUAUUGGCCCAUAAGCUUCUUUUCAAUUCACUGAACAAACUUUCCUAAGGAACCCAUAUGUUUUGAAGCCUCUGACUAUUGGAAAACAAUGAAAAACUUGCGGCUCGCCGUUUUACCCCAUGGUCUCCAAAAAAAUAUUUCAUGCUGAUUUCUCUCUCGACCCCCUGUUCCCCCAUGGUUUUUCAACACGUCGUGGUGAAUUUUUGAUCAGCUGGCCUAACAGCUGACUGACAGAUAUAAUUGUUUUUGUUUAUGUUUUCAUAACAUGUUUUCAUAUAUCGGAAUCGGAAAGAUCCUCCGUCGUCUUAAUUCUGGCCGUCAAAAGUUCCGUCUCCAUCACCGAAACCGGAUUCUCUCGGCCUUAUGUGUUUUUCAUGCCGUGUGAAGUGCGCUUUGGCUAGUUUUCGUAAAAUAUAUAGUGAAAUUUCCAGAAAAAACGUCGAACAACAAACGUAAAAGUUGAAAUCUGAAUGGAUUUCGAUCCCAAGGCCGUGCUGGUGGAUGAGGACGAGAUUUCUACUAGUAGACUGCGGAAUAUAAUCGAUCGGCAACAACGCUCAGGAGCGCAAAACAGCAACGUCAGAGGAUCUGCGCAAAAUGACGAGUCGGACCCAAUUGGGGUUAUUCCGGCACCAAGCACACAGCCGGAGGUGGCGCCUACAUUAUCAGCAAAAUCUUCAAAGCCACAAAAAACAGUUACUACAAAUACGUCAAGAAUGGUGAAUCGGACAAAGACGUCGGACGAUCGCCUUUUACCGGUAUGUCCUCCUAGACGGUGCGGAACGUGACCGAUAGAAUGACAAACUUUUCCGUGGUCAGCGUGAAAACUGUGAACAAGCUUAUCUGUAGCUGCAACGCAUCGCAAAUUUUGAGGAGCUCGACGAUUAUGUUGGCUUCGGUCGUGUUCCAGAUGGAACUCACCUAGGAGAUGCAGAAGUCGCAACAGAAAUAACUGAUGCUGGACUGUUGAUGGUAGUGGCCAGAGGUAUACCACCUAUGUUUCCGCUAGUGACGAGAUAAUCAUCCUCUUUUCUAGAUUAAGAGUUCAGUUCAGUUCAGUUGGCUUUGAAAAUCGAUUGGUACGUCUUUCAAAUUAA